Molecule: ribosomal RNA, 496 nt
Filed under: uncultured Glomeromycotina
Lineage: Eukaryota; Fungi; Glomeromycota
Description: partial small subunit ribosomal RNA
Rfam family: Eukaryotic small subunit ribosomal RNA
Source: RNAcentral
CCAAUAGCGUAUAUUAAAGUUGUUGCAGUUAAAAAGCUCGUAGUUGAAUUUCGGGGUUCUACCGUUGGUCGGGCUAUUGUCUGUACUGGCGUGUAGAAUUUCUACCUUCUGGGGAACUAUCAUGUUAUUAAUUUAGUGUGGUAGGAAACCAGGACCUUUACCUUGAAAAAAUUAGAGUGUUCAAAGCAGGCUUAUGUCUGAAUACAUUAGCAUGGAAUAAUAAAAUAGGACGGUGGUCCUGUUUUGUUGGUUUCUGAAUCACCGUAAUGAUUAAUAGGGAUAGUUGGGGGCAUUAGUAUUCAAUUGUCAGAGGUGAAAUUCUUGGAUUUAUUGAAGACUAACUACUGCGAAAGCAUUUGCCAAGGAUGUUUUCAUUAAUCAAGAACGAAAGUUAGGGGAUCGAAGACGAUCAGAUACCGUCGUAGUCUUAACCAUAAACUAUGCCGACUAGGGAUCGGACGAUGUUAACUCUUAUUGACUCGUUCGGCGCCUUACG